GAUUAAAAAUUUCAUCUAUUUGUAUUGUUAAAAACUGACGUAGCUAAUGGAAUUACUAAACAAUGAUACGUGGCACGUCAUGUUGAUGUAUAGAGACUAAUUUUUAACUGUAAAAUUGAUGGAAUUUUUAACA
This 133-nucleotide microRNA precursor is filed under the name Gossypium arboreum. Its description in RNAcentral is "MIR7502 microRNA precursor family". It matches the Rfam family "MIR7502 microRNA precursor family". The record is from Rfam by way of RNAcentral. Lineage: Eukaryota; Viridiplantae; Streptophyta; Magnoliopsida; Malvales; Malvaceae.